UUGUCUCAAAGAUUAAGCCAUGCAUGUCUCAGUACAUACCGAAAUUAAGGUGAAACCGCGAAAGGCUCAUUAAAUCAGUUAUGGUUCCUUAGAUCGUACCACAUUUACUUGGAUAACUGUGGUAAUUCUAGAGCUAAUACAUGCAAACAGAGCUCUAACCGGAGACGGGAGGAGUGCUUUUAUUAGAUCAAAACCAAUUGUGUCAUCCCUAUGGCUCUAUAUGAUUCUGUAUCUUAGCGUACGUUCAUAUAUCCAGGGUGUAUGUUCACAUAAUAUAAUUGGUGAAUCUGAAUAACUUGCUGAUCGCAUGGUCUCGUACCGGCGACGCAUCUUUCAAAUGUCUGCCUUAUCAACUUUCGAUGGUAGGAUCUGCGCCUACCAUGGUUGUAACGGGUAACGGGGAAUCAGGGUUCGAUUCCGGAGAGGGAGCUUGAGAAACGGCUACCACAUCCAAGGAAGGCAGCAGGCGCGCAAAUUACCCACUCCCGGCACGGGGAGGUAGUGACGAAAAAUAACGAUACGGGACUCAUCCGAGGCCCCGUAAUCGGAAUGAGUACACUUUAAAUCCUUUAACAAGGAGCAACUGGAGGGCAAGUCUGGUGCCAGCAGCCGCGGUAAUUCCAGCUCCAGUAGCGUAUAUUAAAGUUGUUGCGGUUAAAAAGCUCGUAGUUGAAUUUGUGUCUUGCACUGUCGGUUCAUCGCUUGAAUGCGGUGUUUAACUGGCACGUUGUGAGACGUCUUGCCGGAAGGGCAUGGUAUGUAUAUUGUUUGUUUGUCUUAUGAUAUAUGUUAAUAAUUAUUAUAAUAUAUAAUAUGGUGUAAAAACCAUAAUUAUAUAUAUAUUUUUAUAUAUACAUUAUCAUAUUGUACACUUACUUUAUGCAUACGUAGUCCGACUUUUUUUAUAAAAAUCCUGUCUAGGUGCUCUUAAUUGAGUGUCGUGGCGGGCCGGCACGUUUACUUUGAACAAAUUAGAGUGCUUAAAGCAGGCUUAUGUUGCCUGAAUAUAGUGUGCAUGGAAUAAUGAAACAGGACCUCGGUUCUAUUUUGUUGGUUUUCUGAACUAACGAGGUAAUGAUUAAUAGGGACAGAUGGGGGCAUUCGUAUUGCGACGUUAGAGGUGAAAUCUUGGAUCGCGCAAGACGAACUUAAGCGAAAGCAUUUGCCAAAGAUGUUUUCAUUAAUCAAGAACGAAAGUCAGAGGUUCGAAGGCGAUCAGAUACCGCCCUAGUUCUGACUAUAAACGAUGCCAGCUAGCGAUCGGCCAAAGUUCCUCCGAUGACUUGGUCGGCAGCUUCCGGGAAACCAAAGCCUUUGGGUUCCGGGGGAAGUAUGGUUGCAAAGCUGAAACUUAAAGGAAUUGACGGAAGGGCACCACCAGGAGUGGAGCUUGCGGCUUAAUUUGACUCAACACGGGAAACCUCACCAGGCCCGGACACCGGAAGGAUUGACAGAUUGAGAGCUCUUUCUUGAUUCGGUGGGUGGUGGUGCAUGGCCGUUCUUAGUUGGUGGAGCGAUUUGUCUGGUUAAUUCCGAUAACGAGCGAGACUCUAGCCUGCUAAAUAGACGUAGAAAACUCGAUUUCACGAUCGGGUUACACCGGUAUUCCGAGGGUUGUCCUUCGACUACUGGCCAUUAUUUGUUCGCUUCAUAUAACUGAUGCAUUAAUAAUUAUUAGUUUUAUGAUAUAUUGCACAAAUUCUUGGGUGAUAUAUUGUAUACUAUUUUUAUUUUAUGUAUUCAAGUGUAUGCUUGCGUCAAUAAUGUAACUAGUUGUUUGUUGGCAAUCUUUACUACCGGCGUUUUAUUAAAUCUUCUUAGAGGGACAGGCGGCUUCUAGCCGCACGAGAUUGAGCAAUAACAGGUCUGUGAUGCCCUUAGAUGUUCUGGGCCGCACGCGCGCUACACUGAAGGAAUCAGCGUGUCUUCCACUGGCCGAGAGGUCCGGGUAAUCCGCUGAAACUCCUUCGUGCUAGGGAUUGGGGCUUGCAAUUAUUCCCCAUGAACGAGGAAUUCCCAGUAAGCGCGAGUCAUAAGCUCGCGUUGAUUACGUCCCUGCCCUUUGUACACACCGCCCGUCGCUACUACCGAUUGAAUGAUUUAGUGAGGUCUUCGGACCGGUACUCGGCCGACGUUUCGACGUCGCCGACGCUGCUGGGAAGAUGACCGAACUUGAUUAUUU
RNAcentral lists this ribosomal RNA (2182 nucleotides) under Pseudotetracha blackburni. RNAcentral's name for it is "SSU rRNA". It matches the Rfam family "Eukaryotic small subunit ribosomal RNA". The record is from RNAcentral. Lineage: Eukaryota; Metazoa; Arthropoda; Insecta; Coleoptera; Carabidae.